ACCUCCUUCGGGAGGGGAUUAGUGGCGAACGGGUGAGUAACACGUGGGCAAUCUGCCCUUCACUCUGGGACAAGCCCUGGAAACGGGGUCUAAUACCGGAUACGAGCCUCCAAGGCAUCUUGGAGGUUGGAAAGCUCCGGCGGUGAAGGAUGAGCCCGCGGCCUAUCAGCUUGUUGGUGAGGUAAUGGCUCACCAAGGCGACGACGGGUAGCCGGCCUGAGAGGGCGACCGGCCACACUGGGACUGAGACACGGCCCAGACUCCUACGGGAGGCAGCAGUGGGGAAUAUUGCACAAUGGGCGAAAGCCUGAUGCAGCGACGCCGCGUGAGGGAUGACGGCCUUCGGGUUGUAAACCUCUUUCAGCAGGGAAGAAGCGAAAGUGACGGUACCUGCAGAAGAAGCGCCGGCUAACUACGUGCCAGCAGCCGCGGUAAUACGUAGGGCGCAAGCGUUGUCCGGAAUUAUUGGGCGUAAAGAGCUCGUAGGCGGCUUGUCACGUCGGGUGUGAAAGCCCGGGGCUUAACCCCGGGUCUGCAUUCGAUACGGGCUAGCUAGAGUGUGGUAGGGGAGAUCGGAAUUCCUGGUGUAGCGGUGAAAUGCGCAGAUAUCAGGAGGAACACCGGUGGCGAAGGCGGAUCUCUGGGCCAUUACUGACGCUGAGGAGCGAAAGCGUGGGGAGCGAACAGGAUUAGAUACCCUGGUAGUCCACGCCGUAAACGGUGGGAACUAGGUGUUGGCGACAUUCC
This 747-nucleotide ribosomal RNA is filed under the name Streptomyces sp. B1Y43. RNAcentral's name for it is "bacterial SSU rRNA". It matches the Rfam family "Bacterial small subunit ribosomal RNA", at positions 73 to 835 of the family's 1533-position model. The record is from RNAcentral. Lineage: Bacteria; Bacillati; Actinomycetota; Actinomycetes; Kitasatosporales; Streptomycetaceae.